GACCCCGCUGAUUUAAGCAUAUAUUAAGCGGAGGAAAAGAAACUACAAGGGAUUCCCCUAGUAGCGGCGAGCGAAGCGGGAAAAGCCCAAGAUGAAAAGCCUGCUUGCAGGCGUUGUAUUUGAGCGUUCUCGGGGUGUCAGUGCGGGCAAGUUGCAUGGAAAUGCACGCCGUGGAGGGUGAGAGCCCCGUCCAACCCACACAGGACACGCCGUACGAGAGCGUUUCAGGCGAGUCGGGUAGCUUGGGAAUGCUGCUCUAAUCGGUGGUAAAUCUCAUCGAAGGCUAAAUAGCGGCUGGAGACCGAUAGCGAACAAGUACCGUGAGGGAAAGAUGACAAGCACUUUGAAAAGAGGGUGAAAAGAGCCUGAAACCGUCAUGGGGGAAGCGGAUCGCGUUGGCCUGGUGGGCGCCUGUGUGUUCAGCCUUCGGGUGCAUUGGCACAGGUGCUUAUCCGCUGUGGGUUUUCGGGGGUCGAUUUUGGAUCCCUGGAGGCUGAGGGCUCCCUUCGGGUGAGGACAGCGGAGUGACGACGCGAUACGACCCGUCUUGAAACACGGACCAAGGAGUCUAGCGCGGGUGCGAGUCGGAGGGUGCAAGCCCGUGGGCGAAGUGAAAGCGAGUGUAAAAACGAGCAGUUUGGGGCGGCAUAAGAUCGUUGAUCUCAAGACCGACCCAGAGCAGUUGCGCUGGGACCCGAAAGAUGGUGAACUAUGCCGGAGUAGGGCAAAGCCAGAGGAAACUCUGGUGGAGGCUCGUAGCGGUGCUGACGUGCAAAUCGCUCGUCCAACUUGGGUAUAGGGGCGAAAGACUAAUCGAACCAUCUAGUAGCUGGUUCCCUCCGAAGUUUCUCUCAGGAUAGCGGGCCGACAAGUUGUUUUGUGCGGUAAAGCGAAUGAUUAGCGCACGUGGGGCCAUUUCGGCUUCAGGCGAUUCUCAAACUUUAAAUGCGCAAGGGUGUCGCUGCUUAAUUGAGCGGCACCGCUAAAAACGUCGGCCCUGUGGGCCACUUUUGGUAAGCAGAACUGGCGAUACGGGAUGAACCGUAAGCAUGGUUAAGGCGCCAAACUGCCCGCUUAUAAACCCCACAAAAGGUGGUGAUUCAUCCACACAGCAAGACGGUGGCCAUGGAAAUCGGAAUCGCCAAGGAGUGUGUAACAACUCACCUGCCGAAU
Molecule: ribosomal RNA, 1173 nt
Filed under: Furcellaria lumbricalis
Lineage: Eukaryota; Rhodophyta; Florideophyceae; Gigartinales; Furcellariaceae
Description: eukaryotic LSU rRNA
Rfam family: Eukaryotic large subunit ribosomal RNA
Source: RNAcentral